Molecule: ribosomal RNA, 119 nt
Organism: Ipomoea nil (Japanese morning glory)
Lineage: Eukaryota; Viridiplantae; Streptophyta; Magnoliopsida; Solanales; Convolvulaceae
Source: Rfam
GGAUGCGAUCAUACCAGCACUAAUGCACCGGAUCCCAUCAGAACUACGAAGGUAAGCGUGCUUGGGCGAGAGUAGUACUAGGAUGGGUGACCCCCUGGGAAGUCCUCGUGCUGCAUCCC